RNAcentral lists this ribosomal RNA (1130 nucleotides) under Escherichia coli. RNAcentral's name for it is "partial 23S ribosomal RNA". It matches the Rfam family "Bacterial large subunit ribosomal RNA", at positions 614 to 1746 of the family's 2925-position model. Lineage: Bacteria; Pseudomonadati; Pseudomonadota; Gammaproteobacteria; Enterobacterales; Enterobacteriaceae. The record is from RNAcentral.
AAUGGGUCAGCGACUUAUAUUCUGUAGCAAGGUUAACCGAAUAGGGGAGCCGAAGGGAAACCGAGUCUUAACUGGGCGUUAAGUUGCAGGGUAUAGACCCGAAACCCGGUGAUCUAGCCAUGGGCAGGUUGAAGGUUGGGUAACACUAACUGGAGGACCGAACCGACUAAUGUUGAAAAAUUAGCGGAUGACUUGUGGCUGGGGGUGAAAGGCCAAUCAAACCGGGAGAUAGCUGGUUCUCCCCGAAAGCUAUUUAGGUAGCGCCUCGUGAACUCAUCUCCGGGGGUAGAGCACUGUUUCGGCAAGGGGGUCAUCCCGACUUACCAACCCGAUGCAAACUGCGAAUACCGGAGAAUGUUAUCACGGGAGACACACGGCGGGUGCUAACGUCCGUCGUGAAGAGGGAAACAACCCAGACCGCCAGCUAAGGUCCCAAAGUCAUGGUUAAGUGGGAAACGAUGUGGGAAGGCCCAGACAGCCAGGAUGUUGGCUUAGAAGCAGCCAUCAUUUAAAGAAAGCGUAAUAGCUCACUGGUCGAGUCGGCCUGCGCGGAAGAUGUAACGGGGCUAAACCAUGCACCGAAGCUGCGGCAGCGACGCUUAUGCGUUGUUGGGUAGGGGAGCGUUCUGUAAGCCUGUGAAGGUGUGCUGUGAGGCAUGCUGGAGGUAUCAGAAGUGCGAAUGCUGACAUAAGUAACGAUAAAGCGGGUGAAAAGCCCGCUCGCCGGAAGACCAAGGGUUCCUGUCCAACGUUAAUCGGGGCAGGGUGAGUCGACCCCUAAGGCGAGGCCGAAAGGCGUAGUCGAUGGGAAACAGGUUAAUAUUCCUGUACUUGGUGUUACUGCGAAGGGGGGACGGAGAAGGCUAUGUUGGCCGGGCGACGGUUGUCCCGGUUUAAGCGUGUAGGCUGGUUUUCCAGGCAAAUCCGGAAAAUCAAGGCUGAGGCGUGAUGACGAGGCACUACGGUGCUGAAGCAACAAAUGCCCUGCUUCCAGGAAAAGCCUCUAAGCAUCAGGUAACAUCAAAUCGUACCCCAAACCGACACAGGUGGUCAGGUAGAGAAUACCAAGGCGCUUGAGAGAACUCGGGUGAAGGAACUAGGCAAAAUGGUGCCGUAACUUCGGGAGAAGG